This 721-nucleotide ribosomal RNA is filed under the name Hypoderma liliense. RNAcentral's name for it is "mitochondrial SSU rRNA". It matches the Rfam family "Bacterial small subunit ribosomal RNA", at positions 391 to 1171 of the family's 1533-position model. Lineage: Eukaryota; Fungi; Ascomycota; Leotiomycetes; Rhytismatales; Rhytismataceae. The record is from RNAcentral.
UUGAGGGAACGUACGUGUUUAUUUUGACAGAGAUAAACAUACCAACUACGUUAUAUAAAGUUCUAGAUAGAAUACUGAUUAUGACUAUUUACUAUCUAUAUGUCUUGACCAAAUUACGUGCCAGCAGUCGCGGUAAUACGUAGAAGACUAGUGUUAUUCAUCUUUAAUAGGUUUAAAGGGUACCUAGACGGUAUUAUUAACCCAAAAUAGGGAAAUAAUUUUACUAGAGUUUGAUAUAAGAAGGGAGUAUUUAGGGAGUAGAGUUAAAAUUCUUUGAUACCUUGAGGACUGAUAAUGGCGAAAGCACUCUACUAUGUAAUAACUGACGUUAAGGGACGAAGGCGUGGGGCGCAAACAGGAUUAGAGACCCUAGUAGUCCAUGCAGAUAAUCAUGAAUGCCAUAGACUAGAUAUAUUUUAGUUUAUAAAUGAAAGUGUAAGCAUUCCACCUCAAGAGUACUGUGGCAACGCUGGAACUGAAAUCAUUAGACCGUUUCUGAGAACAGUAGUGAAGUAUGUUAUAUAAUUCGAUAGUCCUCGUAAAACCUUACCACAACUUGAAUAGUGUCCUACAUUAAUAGGAUGUUACAAGUGUUGCACGGUUGUCUUCAGCUAAUGUCGUGAGAUUGUGGUUAGUUCCAUAAAAUUAGCGUAAACCCCGGUUUUAUUUUUAAAUUAUAAUUAUGAUAAAGCAGUUCAGUCAUUAUAUCGACUUGUGAUAA